UACGGGGGGGGCAAGCGUUGUUCGGAAUUACUGGGCGUAAAGGGCUCUUAGGCGGCCAACUAAGUCAGACGUGAAAUCCCUCGGCUUAACCGGGGAACUGCGUCUGAUACUGGAUGGCUUGAGUUUGGGAGAGGGAUGCGGAAUUCCAGGUGUAGCGGUGAAAUGCGUAGAUAUCUGGAGGAACACCGGUGGCGAAGGCGGCAUCCUGGACCAACACUGACGCUGAGUGAGCGAAAGCCAGGGGAGCAAACGGG
Molecule: ribosomal RNA, 254 nt
Filed under: uncultured bacterium
Lineage: Bacteria
Description: partial 16S ribosomal RNA
Rfam family: Bacterial small subunit ribosomal RNA
Source: RNAcentral